Molecule: long non-coding RNA, 209 nt
Filed under: Mytilus galloprovincialis (Mediterranean mussel)
Lineage: Eukaryota; Metazoa; Mollusca; Bivalvia; Mytilida; Mytilidae
Source: RNAcentral
GUGAUAUGUGUGUCUAGAUUUUAUUAGGUCAGCAAAUGUUUAUGUUAAAUGCUAUUGAGAAACAAUUGUAUUCAUUUAUUUCUCCUUAAAUUCUAAUGUUGGACAUUUUUGCUUGAUUUCAAAUUACUAUAACUUUGCAUGUGAAGGGGAGGUAACUCAGAAAAUGUAUGUUUUUUAAAGCUAUCUUAAGGGCAUACGAUACAAUUUUU